UGGGGAAUAUUGGACAAUGGGCGCAAGCCUGAUCCAGCCAUGCCGCGUGAGUGAUGAAGGCCCUAGGGUUGUAAAGCUCUUUCGCCAGGGACGAUAAUGACGGUACCUGGAUAAGAAGCCCCGGCUAACUUCGUGCCAGCAGCCGCGGUAAUAUGAAGGGGGCUAGCGUUGUUCGGAAUCACUGGGCGUAAAGCGCACGUAGGCGGAUCUUUAAGUCAGGGGUGAAAUCCCGAGGCUCAACCUCGGAACUGCCUUUGAUACUGGAGGUCUCGAGUCCGGGAGAGGUGAGUGGAACUGCGAGUGUAGAGGUGAAAUUCGUAGAUAUUCGCAAGAACACCAGUGGCGAAGGCGGCUCACUGGCCCGGUACUGACGCUGAGGUGCGAAAAGCGUGGGGAGCAAAACAGGAUUAGAUACCCUGGUAGUCCACGCCGUAAACUAUGGAUGCUAGCCGUUGGGCAGCUUGCUGUUCAGUGGCGCAGCUAACGCUUUAAGCAUCCCGCCUGGGGGAGUACGGUCGCAAGAUUAAAACUCAAAUGAAUUGACGGGGUCAUAGCUGUUUCCU
Molecule: ribosomal RNA, 563 nt
Filed under: uncultured bacterium
Lineage: Bacteria
Description: partial 16S ribosomal RNA
Rfam family: Bacterial small subunit ribosomal RNA
Source: RNAcentral